CACACACACACACACACACACACGUGCGCGCACGCACACACACACACACACACACACACACACACACACACACACACACACACACACACAUACAGACACAGAUUAACAGGGUCACAUGCUCUUGUGCCAGUCUCUGUUGGUUUUCAACUACUCAACACAUACUCCACACAGGCCUCACUUAUCUUCAGUACUGGAACAUAGCGGGCCUGCUCGACUGUGUUGGCACCUACAACAGCAUUCCAGCAGAUCCUCCCCACCAAUGAAUGCAGUGCUGUAGAGGAGGAGCUCACAUGGGUAAGAUACAACAAAGAACAUCUGUGUGUGAAGGCCCUCACCUGGGGAGCAGGCAGCACUGCAUUACCACAGCUGCUACAGGUCUAGAUGUAAGCCAUCGUUCUCAUCCAUCAGCACAAUGAGCACGAGCCCUGAUCCAGCCACGUGCUUCAUCCACAAAGCUGUGCAGCUACUUUGUGCCACGCUGCAGGGCCUUUGUUUUGAACACACACACACAGACACACACACACACUCGCAUACAACCACACACAUAAUUUAAACACUAUUAUUAGUGUUUGCUUAUCAGUGCUUAUACAGAUCAGCCUCAGAAUCAUCUUGUUUAUAUUCAUGUUUAGUACAAUCUU
Ictalurus punctatus (channel catfish) is the source of this 638-nucleotide long non-coding RNA. The record is from Ensembl. Lineage: Eukaryota; Metazoa; Chordata; Actinopteri; Siluriformes; Ictaluridae.